Long non-coding RNA from Oenanthe melanoleuca, 1678 nucleotides. RefSeq lists it as uncharacterized. The transcript is spliced from 2 exons. The record is from RefSeq and is a predicted model, not a curated record. Lineage: Eukaryota; Metazoa; Chordata; Aves; Passeriformes; Muscicapidae.
UUCUGUCACUUCUAGUUGUCUGCGCUGAUUGGGCAAAACCGGAACAAGCCAGGCCCAAUGCCGCCGUUAGAGCACUCCUGGCGCAGCAAAUGAGCAAGGGGCAGAGCAUUUGUACAGGCCAGGGAGCGGCGGCAGCGGCCGGAGCCCGGUGAGGCGCGGCGGACCUCGGAGGAGGCGACAGCGCAGCAUGCCGGGCACAGGGCAGCCAUCUCUGUGCUACCCACAGGAACUGGGACGAACCAGCGCUGCUCCGGCCGCGGGUCCCGCCUUGUCGCCAGCGGGAAGGAGACCGCGGGCAGGCGCUCCCGCAGUGCCGUCAGCCCAGGGGAUCACGGGCCGGGCACGGCAUAGCGAACUCGCCAGAGUCCCCUGCCGCCCCCAGCGAGCCCCGAGCGCCCGCAGAACCGAGCGCGGUUCCCACCUGCGCUGGUGCCGCCUCCGAGCUCCGCCGCCGCCUCACCGGGCUCCGGCCGCUGCCGCCGCUCCUGGGAAACACAGAACCUCUGAAAAUGGCGCCCCGGCGGCGGCACCGGGGCCGGGCUUGUCCCCGCUCUGCCCAAUCAGCGCGCUAGAUCAAGGAGUGACAGCACAAUCAGCCAAUCGCAGCGAGGGGCGGGCUCUGUACACGGCACGGGCUCCCCUCCCUUUCCCCGAGCUCCGCCAUUUCUCGGAAACCUCGCCUGAGGAGCGGCUCACGCGCUGGGCCCGGCCCGGGCAUCGGGCCCAGGAACCGCUGCUGUCCUGAACCGCCGGGAGCUCGGGGCUUUUUCGUUUUCAAGGUGUGGGCAGAUGGAGCAGGAGGAAAAGCCCCGGAGAUCCCUCAGGAGGAGGGGCUGCAAACCCAGCCCAGGGAGCUGCGAGGAGGAGAGACCCUCCCUGAGCCGGGAAGGCGGCCGGAGAUCCAGGCAGAGCUCAGAGCUGGUGGAGCAGCCUCAUGGAGGGGAGAAGCCCCACAAGUGCCUGGAAUUUUGGAAGGAUUUCUGCCAUAACUCCCAGCUGAUGCAAGACCAGAGGAUGCACACUGGGGAACGGUCCUACAAGUGUGGGGAAUGUGGAAAGAGCUUCAGUGACAUCUCCAUCCUGAUGCAGCACCAGUGACCCACACAGGGGAAGGUUCGUACACCUGCUUGGAAUUUGGGAAGAGCUUUGAAUGGAGCAAAAACCUGAGAGUCCACCAGCACAUCCACUGGGGAGAAGCCCUAUGAGUGUCCUGAUUGUGGGAAGAGGUUUCAGACCAGCUCCAGUCUCCUCAAACACAAGCAGAUUCACACAGAGGAGAGGCCCUUCUGCUGCCCCGACUGUGGGAAAGGAUUCAAGCAGAACUCCCACCUCAUCAGACACCGGCGCAUCCACACUGGGGAGAGACCCUAUGAGUGUCCUGAGUGUGGGAAGAGCUUCACCACGAGCUCUAACUUGACCCGACACAAAUGGAGGCUUCACUAAGGGAAGCCCUGUGAGUGCCCCGAGUGUGGGAAGAGCUUUGUGCUCUGCUCCAGCUCCAUCCCCCAUGGGAGGAUUGUUGUUGGAUGAUCCCCAGUGACCCCUGUUGGGCAGAUCCCUGGUGAUCCGUGGUCCUGGUGACCACCAUUGGGUGGGGGGAUGGGGUUUGAAGAGAUUUUUUUCCCUUCUCCUUGUCCUGCUGUGAUUUGGUUGCUAAUAAAUUCAUUCGCUGUGUCCA